This 282-nucleotide long non-coding RNA is filed under the name Gossypium barbadense (sea-island cotton). RNAcentral describes it as "long non-coding RNA (GBAR_LNC010088)". Lineage: Eukaryota; Viridiplantae; Streptophyta; Magnoliopsida; Malvales; Malvaceae. The record is from RNAcentral.
AAACUUAUGAUGAAUCCUCUAAUUUUAAUUUCUAUUUUUACGUGAUAAAUACUUGAUUCUUGUUCUUAAUUAUGUAUGUUUAUUUCUUGUUUUAAUAUUUUCGGGAUACUAAUUCAUAUCUAAUGUGCUUAUUUCUGUGGAGCAAAAUUCCCUGUUGAAGAGUAGAUCUAGCAUAAUUUAGUAGAGUUGUAUGCAAUCAUAGAAAUAGGACUACAAAAAUCUAUCGGAUUGGAGUCAAAUCUAAUAAGGGAAUCCAUAGAUCGAGGUAAUGCAAUAAUAGGG